AAGAGCAGCGAGCUUGAAUAUACCAUAUGCUGUGGCACCAACAGAGCAACCCUCAGAUGUCGCUAACCCUGCGCCUUCAGAGAACCAGGAUGAAGCAACCUCACACAGUAAGCAGGAUGAAGCAACCUCAUCUAGUAGUUCAAAAUCCAGUAGAACAAACUGGGAUGAAUUGGUGGAGAAGCUCUUCACCAGGACUGCUUCUGGGAACCUUGUUCUGAAGAAAGAC
Molecule: long non-coding RNA, 226 nt
Filed under: Phoenix dactylifera (date palm)
Lineage: Eukaryota; Viridiplantae; Streptophyta; Magnoliopsida; Arecales; Arecaceae
Description: long non-coding RNA (PDAC_LNC004262)
Source: RNAcentral